UCAUUUCUUUUCAUUUUUUUUAGAGCGUGGUGUUUUAAAUUCUGAUUAGAAAAGGGAAUCGACAUUCAGUUGAUUUUUUUUAGCUGUAGUGAAGGAAAGCAGAUUUUUUAAUCGUUCUCAAUCUUCCCUAGCAGAGAAAAUGCAUGUCAUUUUAAUUGGAUUUAACUUGAUCUCCUGCCGUUGGAACACUUGUUCUUUGUUAGCAGUCCUACCGUAUAUGGGCUACAUAUGACUGUCCGGGUUCAACAGCGCAUCGAUCACGCAACUACGAACAAGGAUUCAACAAACCAAAAAAACGUUCCUGGAAGUGAAGUGUUUUAAUUUCCUAUUAAGUGUAGUGUAAGUGUAAAUAUUGGGAAAAUAAAGUUUAUUCCAUUGUUAACUUGUUUUGUUUUGAACAUUAAAAAGAAAUAAAAAUACGAAAGUAAAAAUCAACCUCAAUUUCAUUCGGGUAUUAAAAACAUCUCCCGUAGCAUUCACGGCCACAUCGCGUUGAACUUACUUGAAAUUCACGUAAAAUGUAGGUGCGCUCCAUGAAGAACGAAUUCUUAUAGGGACGCGUUUACGUAUUGAUAGCAUUUACGUGAAAAUCAAUUGGAUAAAAACUAUGUAGUUUUUCACGUAGCCGCUACGUGCAGAUUAUUUUGGGUGUAGAAUUAGGUUAAUGUCAUGCUGGGGCGACAAGCGACGCGUUGCAUUCUGUAUUCCAAUAAGAAAGCUAACACGGAGAAAAAAGUAUAGUUUUUCCAACAAUAUUUCACUUAUAUUUAACUAUACAAAAAUUAAUUUGCUAGGAUGCAGAGGUAACCUCGGUCCUAAAGCAUGAAAUAUUAUUCUUUCAAUCCCUUCCUCUCUUUCCCUUCUAUCCAUUGACUACUAGGACGUGGCCGGCGCCGUUAUUGAUGUAUAAAGAGAGAGCAUCAGUUUUGUUCAUUGUGAAUGUGCUGUCAAUCCCAGAUACCAUUCAUUUGACCUCUGGACAAAAUUGAUGGCCUCGGUCAAUCACGGAGUAGCAACCAUUGGCGAUGUGGAAUUAGUUCUACUGAGCCACGCCUGCGAUCAUGGAAUUUGAAAUGCGUUUGCUCUAAUAUCGAUAAAAAUACAUUUAAAGUUUUACGAAGCUUAUAAG
Long non-coding RNA from Uranotaenia lowii, 1129 nucleotides. RefSeq lists it as uncharacterized. The record is from RefSeq and is a predicted model, not a curated record. Lineage: Eukaryota; Metazoa; Arthropoda; Insecta; Diptera; Culicidae. The transcript has 3 exons.